This is a non-coding RNA of Tetranychus urticae (two-spotted spider mite), 988 nucleotides long. Lineage: Eukaryota; Metazoa; Arthropoda; Arachnida; Trombidiformes; Tetranychidae. The record is from RefSeq and is a predicted model, not a curated record.
CGGAACAUCUCUAAUUCAAGUGGAAAACCGGUUAACGUCGUUGACUAAUAUUGAUAUUGAUUUAAUACUUUUUAUUGAUAAAAUAUAAAAUCCAAAUGAUUUGAGGAUUCACUUAAUGAUUAAUAUUACCUUCAAGGUAAAUGUCAGCUCAAGGGUUAGCUCAGGUCAUUCCUGGUUUUUUCAUAUCGACUUGAUAUUGAAGCUUAUGUGAAUAUUUUAACUCAUAACAUCACUUUUUUCAUCUUAUUAUCAUCUUUAACUUCCUCAUCUUUGGAUCAAACAUCAUCACCAUCACCAUAAUCAUCGUUGUCAUCAAGUAACUGAACCGUGUUCAUUAAAUUGACCCUCAACAAGUGCUUCCGUCUUGAAGUUUUCAUAUUAUUACUUUGACGGUUGGGUCAAAAUUCAAUACAUUUACCUUAUUGUUCAAUUGAUGAGAAAAACGGCGUUAAACGUUGACCCUCAUGUUAAUCACGGUGAAUUUAAGCGAUUUGGUCAAUCAAAAAGCGCUUCAACAUUUCUUUUCGCAUCAUCCUUUUCACUUUUCACUUAUUAUCGACUUGAUGGUGAUGACCAUCAUUAUCAUCUUUUUUUCUCUCCCUUUCAAUUUCUUUUCACUCUUUGUUUCAUAAAUUACAUUUGAUUCAUUUGAAGCUCGACCUGCUAAAAAUGCAUUUGAAUCAACAUAACAUUUCUCCAUCAUGAUUCAGGUCAAUCAAAAGGAAACUACAAUGAACAAAAUUGUAUUCUCAUUAAUUUUAUGCUUCUCUUUACCAAACAUGACUCUCAAUCUUUGAUUACUUCAACACACAUUUACUUUUACCCUCUUCAUUGUUGUACAUUUCAUUGCAAAACUGUUGCGAUUGUUUGAUUAAGAAGGUAAAAUAUUGAUCUAUCACCGGUUUAGUGACCGUUAAUCGGUAUUAUCAAGACACCAUUUAGUUGUUAAACAUUAAACAUAUUGAACCAUUUUACAAUCAACUCACAA